RNAcentral lists this long non-coding RNA (1032 nucleotides) under Numida meleagris (helmeted guineafowl). Its description in RNAcentral is "lncRNA (ENSNMEG00000002605.1)". The record is from RNAcentral. Lineage: Eukaryota; Metazoa; Chordata; Aves; Galliformes; Numididae.
GGAGAGGGUGGGGUGGGAAUUAGACAUGGGGAUGGGCAUGGGCAUGGGGCAGGACGCAGAGGUGGCCAUGGGGAGGAGGUGGGGAUGGAUGUGGGGCACGACGUGGGGCUGGACGUGGGGAUGGAUGGGACGUGGACAUGGGGAGGACGUGGGGUAGGACAUGGGGUGGGACACGGGGAUGAACACGGGGCAGAACGAGGGGCAGGACACGGAGGUGGACACGAGACAGGACAUGGGGUAGGACAUGGACACGGGCACGGGGAGGACACGGGACAGGAUGGGGUGGGACGCGAGGCCAGACAGAUGGACACGGGGUAGGACACGGGGUGGGACGUGGAACGGGACACGGGACAGGAAGCAGAGAUUGGCAUGGGAUGGUGCACGGACGUGGGCAUGGGACAGGACGUGGGGUAGGACGUGGAGAUGGACACGGGGAGGAUGCGGUGUGGGACAUGGGGAUGGACAUGGGACAGAACAAGGGACAGGACGGGUAGGACAGAGAUGGACAUGGGGUAGGACACGGGUAGGCCACGGGAUAGGAUGGGGUAGGACAUGAGACAAGACAGAUGGACGUGGGGAGGACGUGGACGUGGACAUGGGACGUGGGUAGGACAUGGAGAUGGACGUGGGGAAGGACACGGGAGGACACGGAGCAGGACAUGGGAGAGGACAAAGGGUGGGAUGCAGGGCAUGGGACGGGACGUGGAGGUGGCCAAGGGUGGGGACACAGGGUGGGGGGGUUGGGGUGGGUGCUGGGGGGGCCACUGUGCUGGGGCUGAGCCCCACAGCCCUGCACGGGCAGCGCUAUGGGGAGGGCAGGGACACCCCCCCCCCCGGCACGCGGACCCCCGCCGGGAGCAAUUUGACUUUUAAAUCCUCUUUAGUGAAAGUGUUUGUCUUGAAAAUGGCCCCAAAUCCCCCCAGAUCCCCGCGGCGCCUCUGAAAAGGGAGAAGCCCCGAGCUGGGGGUGUGCCAUUGAGAGGGGCACCGCGGGGGGGUAAUGGGCACCGCUGGAAUUCUGUGGGGAUGAGG